CCCGGGCCUUGUACACACCGCCCGUCACACCAUGGGAGCGGGUUCUGCCAGAAGUAGUUAGCCUAACCGCAAGGGGGGCGAUUACCACGGCAGGGUUCGUGACUGGGGUG
RNAcentral lists this ribosomal RNA (110 nucleotides) under uncultured bacterium. RNAcentral describes it as "partial 16S ribosomal RNA". It matches the Rfam family "Bacterial small subunit ribosomal RNA", at positions 1373 to 1482 of the family's 1533-position model. The record is from RNAcentral.